This is a long non-coding RNA of Hemicordylus capensis (graceful crag lizard), 3395 nucleotides long. RefSeq lists it as uncharacterized. The record is from RefSeq and is a predicted model, not a curated record. Lineage: Eukaryota; Metazoa; Chordata; Lepidosauria; Squamata; Cordylidae. The transcript is spliced from 6 exons.
UUCACUCCACGCCCCCAGCACGUGACCGCCCCUCCCUCGGGGCGGCGAAAGAAAAAGCCGGCGAGCGAGACGGGCACGGGGCGCGAGCUGGUUCGCUAGAGGGCGCCUCUCUCGCAGCGAGGAAGGGCGGGGGAGCAGGUGAACCGGGAAGCAGCAAAGCUAGCCCCGCCCCGUUCACCUGCCUCAGGAAUUUGUGUGGCCCGAUCCUAGCGGUAUUUACUCGGGACAAGCGAGUCCCUUGUCAGGCAGCCUGAAAGAGGCAAAAGGAAGAAACGGAGAAUACCAUAUCCUUGGCAGCUUUAAAUGGCUCUGCCCAAUUCAAUCAGUGGCAAGGACUGCUCUGUUGUUCUGUAUAUCAGUUUACCUCCUCAGGCAGAACAACCACCAGCGGCAGUGAGAGUAGCACUGGCAGUUGGCCUGUCAUCACCAUCACAACAGGUCGUAUGUCCCCAGGUCCACCUAACACCUACCGUAUGAAACCGCCCCACAAACACCAUGACCGGGAAUCCAACAGAACCACCACCAGCCUACCAGAAUUCAGAUUCACUCUGGCCCAGAUCUGUGGAUUUGUGGUAACGAUCAAGAAGACGUAUGGAUCCUUUGGAGGUCUCUGGGUGUAACCCUGUUCCCCACUCAACUGGUCACAGCAGCAAUAAAUCACAGCAACAGCACCCAAUACAGAGAACAAACAUGGCAUCAUAGUUCAAACUGCAUAUUAACAAGACACUUCUAGCAGUAUACUAAGAGUAUCAGUCUGGUAUUCAAGGAAUAACAAAACAAGUCCUUUGAUGCACCAGGAUUUUAAUAGAAAUACAGUUGAAUAAACGCAGAUAUCAGGGGAAAGAUCUCCCAUUAGCUUAAAGCACUGCAAAAAAAAGCUCUAUGUCUGUCUUUAAGAAGAACAAAGGAUUCAAGAUGUGGAGAUCUGCAAACACAAGGCCAAGUGAGGAUAUAGCUGAAGCAGCACAAGAAAACUAGACUAUUAAAGCACUGUGGUUAUGCAGACUGCAAAUAACACAUUCCAAAGGGGUUAGGGUCCAAGUGUUAGUGUAACUAUUUUGUGACUUGGAAUAUCGUCUCUGUUUUUACUAAUGCAAAUAUCUCAGACAUGCUUAUUUCUUCCUUGUAUUGAAAAUCACUGUUAGGUUCUACCAUACAUUCAAACUAGGUAGCUGCCUGGGGUGGCAUCAUUCAAGGUGUUCACCAAAGUGGAGGUUGGGGCACAGUCACCAUUGGACAAAGGACGGGGAAAAAUGUCCCUGGGCCAGCAGGGUUGGGGUGGCCGCCAGCAUUCUCUCUAAUUUUUUUCAUCUGUGUGCGGAAUGAGUUUUGUUCUGGGCGGCAAUAUCAAAGCAAUGUGUGUGCAUGUGCAUUCAGAAUGGGCCUUCCUGAUUCAACCUGAGUGGGAUCUAAAAUUAACUGAGCGGACAUCCAAAAACUUGUGAGUGUGCACAUGUGCGCACACCUUAGAGGGAACACUGGUGGUCACCAUUGCACCCUCCUGUCCUCCUCCUCCUCCUGUACACAGCCGGUUAACAAAGUGCUACCAACUGGGAAUGCAAGGCACAACCCCUCUCCUUCCCAGUUGGUGCUUCAUUCAAGCGCCGACUGGGUGCUUUAUUUCUCUGCAUCAAGCGAGACAAAGAAAGAAGCACCCAGAUGGCCCUUGGUUCCCAGUUGGCACUUUGUUCAAGUACUAGCCGAGUGCUUUCUUUCUCUGCAUCGCUUCAAGCACCAACUGGGAAGGAGUGGGAGAGGGGCUGCGGAGCCCCUCUUUCUGACAUGGACCAUGUCCCCAGCAUCUGAGAUUGAUACAGGGUGUGUGGCUGGUUCUCACACGGUAGUGCGUGCAGCAAAAAUUGGGAAAAGGCCACCGGCAAGCUCCCUACACCCCUGGUGGAGGCAGUGGAUGACACCAGGUCCUGCACUACUUUUGGCAUGGCCAGCUCCCUGUACAAAUGGAGAGUUGUGAAGCAGUCUCCUGAUGUGCCUGGGUGGUGAAGGAAGGAAGGAGCCACCGUUAAAAGCCAAGAAAAAUGACAAAUGCAGAUUGCAACAAAUAACUUCUGUAUCAAAGAGAAGUGCUAAAAAAUAACAAGGCAUUAAUAGUUGGCUUUAUAGUUGUAACAUUUUUGUCCCGAGUAUAAUCUCAUAAACACAUGCAAGAAAGAAGAAUAUAGUUGUCAAUCACAGCAGUGGUUUUUGUGGGAAUAAACCUUCAUCUGUCAAUUUAAGGUUCAGAUCCCGAUCUGGUUGGUGCACAGAAAAACUAUGGUCAUCUACAUCAUCUUCAAUGCCUGACCCAAGAUCUGAUUCAAUUUCAUUUCCUGAUCCAUAUUCAUCUCCAGAAAAUGCAGCAGUAUCUGGGUGGAACUGAAGUUUCUUCAUCCUGAAACACAGUAUAAAAUCAUAAACUUUGGACAGAGGAUCAGACUCAUCAAGACCUUCCUUGCCAAAAAAUAAGAUGGUGGAACAAAAUGAAUCAGCUUUGUGAACUAUUUUAUAUGGUCUGCCUGCUCCACAUACUAAGCUACUGAUACAGCAUGCUUGUAGAAGCCUUUGCAGAGUUCCUUUCCAGGAAUACACAAAGAUGAGAUUAAAAAGGAGCUCUCUGCCUGCUGGCAUCUAUGCAGUCUCUUUCUUGCAGUAGACAGGUUCUUCACCUGCCACCCCAUUAAAAACGCAUUUUGUAUAUUUAUUUAUAUUUUACUUAAAAUAUUUAUAUACCACCCAAAACCUGCAUCUCUCAUAUUUGUAGCCAAAUAUUGUAUACAUCCAAUUGUCACUGGACAUUUAAGAUGGGAAGAGGCCCUAAACACUGCUGACAUGAUCCAGCUAAACUUAAGCAUUCUUACAACCCACUGUUUUCAACAGAACCGUUAAACACAUGUUGAUAUCUUUCCAGCUUAAAUCGGUGGGAUUUAAAAAUACACAUAUUUGGCUAGAUUGUGCCCUCUCUAUGUGUUUAGAAACUGAAUUAUGUGCUGUCUUGAAAUGAGCAGACUCUGUUGUGAAUUUGGAUAUGUGAUCCUUAGGAGUACGUUAACAUCUCAGCAGUAUUAGUGUUUGCAUUGGGAAAUAUUUUAUUUAUUUAUGUAUUUAUUUAUAAAUAAAUAAAUAAAUAUUAUUCAUAUUAUUAUUUAUAAAUAAUAUCUAUAAUAUUUAUUUAAUCUAAUUAUUUAUUUUAUUUAAUUGAUUAUUUGAUCUAGUUAUUUUAAUUAUUUAAUUUAAAUAAUUAAAUGAUUUAAAUAAAAUAAUCAAAUUAAAUAAUCAAAUUUAAAUUAUUAAAUUAUGUAAUUUAAUUGUUUAUAAUAUUUAAAUAAUAAUUAUUAUUAUUUAUAAAUAAUAUUUGCAAAUAUAAUAAAUAAAUAAAUAAAUCACCACACUCCUAGUCA